UACUUAUCCAGAAAGCCUGAGACAUGGGGUCUAUGAAGGCUUGGCAACCGUUCCACCCGCAAGGAAAAUGGUGCCAAAUCCCCCUCAAAACUUGUUUUGAGAAAGAUAAGUG
This 112-nucleotide non-coding RNA is filed under the name bacterium 336. Its description in RNAcentral is "Bacterium 336 SAM-I sequence". It matches the Rfam family "SAM riboswitch aptamer (S box leader)". Rfam says of the family: The SAM riboswitch is found upstream of a number of genes which code for proteins involved in methionine or cysteine biosynthesis in Gram-positive bacteria. The SAM riboswitch acts at the level of transcription termination control. The predicted structure consists of a complex stem-loop region followed by a single stem loop terminator region. RNAcentral also lists the same sequence under 1 other name. The record is from RNAcentral.